GUGUGAGCCACCAGGCCAGGUCUGUUAUUUCUUGAUUAUAUGUUAAACAAGAGGUAGGUUACUGGUGAGUUUUCUGAGACAGGGUUGGGCAAUUCCCAGAACUGAGGAUUCCUCCCCUCUUAGACCAUAUAGGGUAACUUCCUGACAUUGCCAUGACAUUUGUAAACUGUCAUGGUGCUGGUGGGACUGUCUUUUGGCAUGAUAAUGCAUUAUAAUCAGCAUAUAAUGAGCCAUGAGAAUGACCAGAGGGCACUUUCAUGACAUCUUGGUUUUGGUGGGGUUUGGGCAGCUUCAUCCUGUUUUAUCAGCAGGGUUUUUGUGACUUGUAUCUUGUGCCAACUUCCUAUCUCAUCCUGUGACUAAGAACACCUAACCUCGUGGGAAUGCAGCCCAAUAAGUUUCAGCUUUAUUUUACCCAGACCCUAUUCAAGAUGGAGUCGCUGUGGUUCGAACACCUCUGACAGGUGGAGCUAAGUGUAUGAAGAGAAUGCGAGAUCGCACCACUGCACUCCAGCCUGGCAGGAGAAUAAGACCCUGUCUAAAAAAAAUAAAAAUAAAAAAAUAAAUAAAUGAAAGAAAGAAAGCAAAAGAAAGAAAGAAAAAGGCUGGAAACAACCAAAAUAUCCGUCAAUCAGGCUGAUUGAAUAAGCUAUGAUCCACCUAUAUAAUGGAAUACUAUGCAGCUGCUAAAAAGAACAAGGAUUAUUUCUAUGUGUUGCUUUGGCGUGAUUGCCAGGAUACAGUGUUACAUGAAAAAAGUAAGAUGGAGAAAAUAUGUUUAGUAUACAGCCAUUUAUCCAAGAAAGGAGGGAGGGAACACACACACACACACACACACACAGACACCCCACAGAACUUUUUAAUUGGGAGGAUAUUUUUAACUGGUUACCUCUAAGCAAGGGGAGGUAGAGAAUGAGGUGGAAGGGCAAAGACAGAGUGUAGAAUUCUCUGCAAGCGGUUCACAAUACCAUUCCCUCCAUUUUUGUAAAUAUUUGGAAUCUUUCAUAAUGCAACUUUUUAUUUUUAAAUGAUUUUCCUUUCUUUACACUGGCCAGUGGACCAAAUGGCACAGAACAGAGCCACCACCAACCUAAAGCCUUACUUUGGGCUUUUCUGUGAGAAACAGCAAGCCUUUUGUUGUUUCUUGUUUCUAUGACUGAAUGACAUCUAUUUGUUCUGCAGCUUCGCUCACUCUAACUAACACACAAUCCCACCAUUUAUCUUCCAGGUCUUACCUUGGCCUUUCCUUCCUGGCUCAAAACCUGUGGGUUCACCUCACAGGUGAGCAACCUCCAGCUUGACCUCAAGUCCUUCUUUUACAAUACGUUCUCAAGGAGACAGAAGCCAAGAGUCUGGGCCCUGCCUCUUCCUUAGCUCCGACCCCAGGCUCACAAAGGAAUUGGAGGUACACUGGCAGUUCUAUAUGAUUGCUGUCCACUUAUUCUAUGAGCAAGGGGACACUUGUUUUGGCCCAGUGGUUUUCAUUAUUCUCCUUCUCCUCCUCUCCCUCCUCCUUCUCCUCUCCUUUCUCCUGCCACCUCUCUCCCCUCCUCACCCUCCUGCCUCCCCAACCUGCUGUUACAUAUGACUUCUAGUAAGUCUCCUUAAAAGGAAGAGAGGAUUUCCUUCUUUUCCCCUACCCCAUCCCACUGCCUGAAAUGUGGGUGCAAUAGCUGGAGCUCUAGUAGCCAUUUUGGACCCUGAGGACAAGAGUCACAUCCUAGAAGUGACAGAGCAGAGAGCUGGAGGAAGCCUGAAUCCCUGAUAAUUCUGUGGCAUCACCACACCACACCAGGCUCAGGCCACCUACUUCUGAACUUCAUAAAAGAUGUGAUAGUGUGGUCGGGCGUGGUGGCUUCUGCCUGUAAUCUCAGCACUUAGGGAGGCCAAGGCAGGUGGAUCACUUGAGGUCAGGAAUUUGAGACCAGCCUGGCCAACAUGGCGAUACCCUGCGUCUAUUAAAAAUACAAAAAUUAGCAGGGUGUAGUGGCGCACGCCUGUAAUCCCAACUACUUGGAGGCUGAGGCAGAGGAAUCGCUUGAACCCAGCAGUCAGAGGCUGCAGUGAGCUGAGAUCAAGCCACUCCACUUCAGCCUAGGUGACAGACUGAGACUCUGCCUCAAGAAAAUAAAUAAAUAAAAAUAAAAGAUAUGAUAGUAUUAGAGAAAUUAACUUCUAUUUAAGCCAUUGUUAUUUUAUGAUUAAAAAAACCCAAACAGUUUAAUCUAUCCUAAUUGAUAAGUCUUUACUCCCCAACAUCAGCUCAGGUGUGCCUCUGCAGGGCCCCAGACUACACUGAAUACUGUUCUGGCCAUAGGAAAAUCAGCUGGUUAUUGUGAACUGUGCUGACUCUUAGAGAUUCUGCCCAGAACAAAACGUGUCAACUCUGCUCACAUCGUGUUGACCAAAGCAAGUCAUGUGGCCAAAUCUUAUGGCAAUGGGGUGGGGAUAUAGAAUCCCCUCAAGGGGAAGAACAGGGAAUAUUUAGAAAUAAUAAUAUGAUCCAUCCUAAUAGUCAACAAAACCAAGGCCCAAAGAAGCAAAGUGGCUUACCUGAGGUUUUACAGACUACUAGGAGGCAGAGUUAGAAUCCUGGUUGAGGACUAGUAUGGUGGCUCAUGCCUGUAAUCCUAGCACUUUGGGAGGCCAAGGUGGGUGGAUCACCUGAGGUCAGGAGUUUGAGACCGGCCUGGCCAACAUGGUGAAACUCCGUCUCUACUAAAAAUACAAAAAUUAGCCGGGAGUGGUGGCAGGUGCCUGUAAUCCCAGCUACUCGGGAGGCUGAGGCAGGAGAAUCUCUUGAGCCUGGGAGGCAGAGGUUGUGGUGAGCCGAGACUGCGCCACUGCACUUCAGCCUGGGCAACAAGAGCAAAACUCUGUCUCAAAAAAAAAAAAAAGAACCCUGGCUGGGCUGAUUUCAACUCUAAUGCUCUUUCCUUUACACUUUACUAUGUCUCAAAAGGAACACUUGAUUUGGGAACACAUAAUGGCUUCGAAGAAGGCAGUGUUGGUGAAAUCAGGCUCACCUACUAGGUCUUAUUUCCAUGAUUUAUCCCUUUCCUGCAGUCUUCUUUGGGGCAGCAGUUAUAAUCGCCCUCUCUUCUCUUCCCCUCUUUUGAAGUCCAAGGUAUCAAAAUUUAUUACUACAGUGGAGACUAGGAAGUGCACCCCUGCCCAACUUGAGGAAGGAUAACAAAAUGUGUGGAGCAAUGUGUGAAAUAGCCUUCACAUGCGAACACAGAUAUUCCCAGAGGCAAAGGCAACACAGUGUGACCAUAUUGGGACCUUUCCAAUGAAUUCAGAUAUUUUAAGGAUAUAGACAAAAGUCAGGAGGAAAGGCAUAUUCCUAAGUGGUAUGCAGGAAAGAAUUAUGGGAUAUUGUGGGUCUUUACAUUUUUCUCCUGUGUUGUGAGCUGUUCUGGUUCCUUCAUCUUCCAAACCACUAAUUCGAUUUUCCACAUAACCAAUCCACCUUUCAGUAGUCAAUGUAUUUUAAAUAUUUAAAUUUGCACAGUUUCUUUUACUCCCAGAAACUUUUUAAAUGCUGUAACUGUAUCUCCUCAAGAGUUUUUUUUUCCUUUUUCAGUUAAUUUUCUUGUGUAAUUCUUCCAUUAGUUCAAUAGCAGCCACUUGUUCAACUAACAAAAAAAUGAGAAAAAAGAAAAAGAAGGGAAAGUAAUAAAAACUCUAAUAAAGAAAAAGCAUAAAAUAAAAUUGGUAGGAAUAAAAUUGAGAAUAUCAGUUAUAAUACCAAGAGAAAAGAUGGUCAAAGUAAAUUUAUAAAACAAAAUAUCUUAUAUACAAGCAUAUACUUAUAGUUAAACAGUAAAAAGCGUAGAAAAUAAAGGGAUGGAAGAAAAAUAAAGUAGUAGUGGUGAUGUUAGUAUCAGAUAAAAUGAAAUUUAGGAUCAAAGACAUUCAAUUGGUCAAAGAGGAACAUUACAUAAUGAUAAGA
Molecule: long non-coding RNA, 3955 nt
Filed under: Homo sapiens (human)
Lineage: Eukaryota; Metazoa; Chordata; Mammalia; Primates; Hominidae
Description: HSALNT0239366
Source: RNAcentral